This 1151-nucleotide ribosomal RNA is filed under the name Escherichia coli. RNAcentral's name for it is "partial 23S ribosomal RNA". It matches the Rfam family "Bacterial large subunit ribosomal RNA", at positions 67 to 1257 of the family's 2925-position model. Lineage: Bacteria; Pseudomonadati; Pseudomonadota; Gammaproteobacteria; Enterobacterales; Enterobacteriaceae. The record is from RNAcentral.
UGCGAUAAGCGUCGGUAAGGUGAUAUGAACCGUUAUAACCGGCGAUUUCCGAAUGGGGAAACCCAGUGUGAUUCGUCACACUAUCAUUAACUGAAUCCAUAGGUUAAUGAGGCGAACCGGGGGAACUGAAACAUCUAAGUACCCCGAGGAAAAGAAAUCAACCGAGAUUCCCCCAGUAGCGGCGAGCGAACGGGGAGCAGCCCAGAGCCUGAAUCAGUGUGUGUGUUAGUGGAAGCGUCUGGAAAGGCGUGCGAUACAGGGUGACAGCCCCGUACACAAAAAUGCACAUAUUGUGAGCUCGAUGAGUAGGGCGGGACACGUGGUAUCCUGUCUGAAUAUGGGGGGACCAUCCUCCAAGGCUAAAUACUCCUGACUGACCGAUAGUGAACCAGUACCGUGAGGGAAAGGCGAAAAGAACCCCGGCGAGGGGAGUGAAAAAGAACCUGAAACCGUGUACGUACAAGCAGUGGGAGCACGCUUAGGCGUGUGACUGCGUACCUUUUGUAUAAUGGGUCAGCGACUUAUAUUCUGUAGCAAGGUUAACCGAAUAGGGGAGCCGAAGGGAAACCGAGUCUUAACUGGGCGUUAAGUUGCAGGGUAUAGACCCGAAACCCGGUGAUCUAGCCAUGGGCAGGUUGAAGGUUGGGUAACACUAACUGGAGGACCGAACCGACUAAUGUUGAAAAAUUAGCGGAUGACUUGUGGCUGGGGGUGAAAGGCCAAUCAAACCGGGAGAUAGCUGGUUCUCCCCGAAAGCUAUUUAGGUAGCGCCUCGUGAAUUCAUCUCCGGGGGUAGAGCACUGUUUCGGCAAGGGGGUCAUCCCGACUUACCAACCCGAUGCAAACUGCGAAUACCGGAGAAUGUUAUCACGGGAGACACACGGCGGGUGCUAACGUCCGUCGUGAAGAGGGAAACAACCCAGACCGCCAGCUAAGGUCCCAAAGUCAUGGUUAAGUGGGAAACGAUGUGGGAAGGCCCAGACAGCCAGGAUGUUGGCUUAGAAGCAGCCAUCAUUUAAAGAAAGCGUAAUAGCUCACUGGUCGAGUCGGCCUGCGCGGAAGAUGUAACGGGGCUAAACCAUGCACCGAAGCUGCGGCAGCGACGCUUAUGCGUUGUUGGGUAGGGGAGCGUUCUGUAAGCCUGUGAAGGU